This 601-nucleotide ribosomal RNA is filed under the name uncultured bacterium. Its description in RNAcentral is "bacterial SSU rRNA". It matches the Rfam family "Bacterial small subunit ribosomal RNA", at positions 380 to 976 of the family's 1533-position model. The record is from RNAcentral.
GACCUGAUCAGCAUGCCGCGUGAGUGAAGAAGGCCUUCGGGUUGUAAAGCUCUUUUGUCAGGGAAGAAAUCGUGGACUCUAACAUAGUCUGCGGAUGACGGUACCUGAAGAAUAAGCACCGGCUAACUACGUGCCAGCAGCCGCGGUAAUACGUAGGGUGCAAGCGUUAAUCGGAAUUACUGGGCGUAAAGCGUGCGCAGGCGGUUUUGUAAGUCUGAUGUGAAAUCCCCGGGCUUAACCUGGGAACUGCAUUGGAGACUGCAAGGCUAGAGUGUGUCAGAGGGGGGUAGAAUUCCACGUGUAGCAGUGAAAUGCGUAGAUAUGUGGAGGAAUACCGAUGGCGAAGGCAGCCCCCUGGGAUAACACUGACGCUCAUGCACGAAAGCGUGGGGAGCAAACAGGAUUAGAUACCCUGGUAGUCCACGCCCUAAACGAUGUCAACUAGUUGUCGGGACUUAAUUGUCUUGGUAACGCAGCUAACGCGUGAAGUUGACCGCCUGGGUAGUACGGUCGCAAGAUUAAAACUCAAAGGAAUUGACGGGGACCCGCACAAGCGGUGGAUGAUGUGGAUUAAUUCGAUGCAACGCGAAAAACCUUACCU